Small nucleolar RNA from Arabis alpina (gray rockcress), 220 nucleotides. It matches the Rfam family "Plant small nucleolar RNA U3". Rfam says of the family: Small nucleolar RNAs (snoRNAs) are involved in the processing and modification of rRNA in the nucleolus. NCBI's taxonomy places the organism in Eukaryota, Viridiplantae, Streptophyta, Magnoliopsida, Brassicales, Brassicaceae. The record is from Rfam.
ACGACCUUACUUGAACAGGAUCUGUUCUAUAGGCUCGUACCUCUGUAUCCUUGACUUCUAAGGAGACAGGCCCUUAACCCUGGUUGAUGCAUCAUGACCGUGCGAUCAGAGCGUGAUUAACGGCCACGAUCGAUUUUCGGAUCAGUCUGGUGCUGUAGAGGAUCGUUACUCGGCUCGGUCUAAUCCUAGCCGGGGUGGUCGCACGGCGGUCUGACAGGUU